CAAUAGCGUAUAUUAAAGUUGUUGCAGUUAAAAGCUCGUAGUUGGAUUUCUGGGAGGGUGCCAAUGUCCGCCGACGUGCGUGCGCAGCGGCGCCCUCUCAUCCUUCUGUUAACGUCUCUCAGCAUUUAUUUGCCGGUGGCGGGCUCAGAUAUUUUACCUUGAGAAAAUUAGAGUGUUUCAGGCAGGCUAGGCCGGAAUACAUUAGCAUGGAAUAAUGGAAUAGGACUUCGGUCUCCUUGUUGGUUUGAGGGACUGCAGUAAUGAUUAAUAGGGAUAGUUGGGGGCGAUUAGUAUUUAAUUGUCAGAGGUGGAAUUCUCAGAUUUGUUUAAAGACUAACUUAUGCGAAAGACAUUUGUCCAAGGAUGUUUUCUAUUAAUUCAAGAACGAAAGUUAAGGGGUAGUCAAAGAACGAUCAGAUACCAU
Molecule: ribosomal RNA, 424 nt
Filed under: uncultured eukaryote
Lineage: Eukaryota
Description: SSU rRNA
Rfam family: Eukaryotic small subunit ribosomal RNA
Source: RNAcentral